Molecule: ribosomal RNA, 440 nt
Filed under: uncultured bacterium
Lineage: Bacteria
Description: bacterial SSU rRNA
Rfam family: Bacterial small subunit ribosomal RNA
Source: RNAcentral
UCAGGCCUAACACAUGCAAGUCGAACGGCAGCACGGGUGCUUGCACCUGGUGGCGAGUGGCGAACGGGUGAGUAAUAUAUCGGAACGUACCUUAUUGUGGGGGAUAACGCAGCGAAAGCUGUGCUAAUACCGCAUAAUCCCUAAGGGGGAAAGCGGGGGACCGUAAGGCCUCGCGCAAUUAGAGCGGCCGAUACCUGAUUAGCUAGUUGGUGAGGUAAAGGCUCACCAAGGCAACGAUCAGUAGCUGGUCUGAGAGGACGAUCAGCCACACUGGGACUGAGACACGGCCCAGACUCCUACGGGAGGCAGCAGUGGGGAAUUUUGGACAAUGGGGGCAACCCUGAUCCAGCAAUGCCGCGUGAGUGAAGAAGGCCUUCGGGUUGUAAAGCUCUUUUGUCAGGGAAGAAACAGCAGCUCUAACACAGUUUGCGAAUGACGUA